Molecule: long non-coding RNA, 1361 nt
Organism: Solanum lycopersicum (tomato)
Lineage: Eukaryota; Viridiplantae; Streptophyta; Magnoliopsida; Solanales; Solanaceae
Source: RefSeq, marked validated
CGGCGGGUUCGGCCGCAGAUAUGCAUUUUUCGACAUUGGAGAAGGAGGGUUAAAUUGGUAUGAAUAUGACAAUUCCUAUUUUACCCGAUAACCCCAAUUCUGCCUGAAUUGAGACAUUGAUGAUGGUGGCAAAUUAUUAUGCGACACCGGCAGCGACAGCGAUAGCGGAAAUGACCAAGAGGUAGAAAUUUACAAAAGCCGCAUAACAGUUCGCCACCACCAUCGAUGUCUCAGUUCAGAAUUAGGGUUAUCGGUUGAACGAGGGAUCGCCAUAUUUGUACCAAUUCAUCCCUCCUCCUCCUGUGUCGAGACAUCCAUAUCUGCCGCCGCCUCCGCCAGAUUCCUUGUAUCCACAUCCUCCUCCUCCUCUACCCUCUCCGACAUCGUGCCCACCUCCACCCCCUCCUCAUUCGUCUUUUCUCAACCACUGUCCUCUCCGCUAAUAAAUCGGUAUCCGCCUUCGUCCCUUCCUCCACCUUCUAAGCCACGAUUCUGUCUUCUUCCUCCUUCUUUGUGUUCUCACCCACCUUCUCAGAUUGUUCGAUUUAAACAAACAGCUCCAUUCCCAGUUAAAAAAUCCAAUGAGACUAGGGAAGAGAGGAGGUUGAGGAAGAAUAAGGAAUUCGAAAAAGUGAGACAAAAACAGAGAAUAAGGGAAGCACAGAAUAGAAUAAUAGAGAAAACCAAAUUGAUAUUUUUUUGGUAUGAAGGUCAUGGGUGAAUUAGAUCAGACAAAGUAUUGCCCCUUUGCCAAGUGGUGGCAUGACAGGCAACCUGUUGAAGAAGCAGUAGCUGAAGUAUAAAGACUCGGUUGUGUUUGUGACUUUUGAUGGUGCUCCAACUGCUGGUUCAGAAACCUACAACAAGCUGUAUAAAACUGUUCGUGAUGCAUAUGAAUCACAGGUACGAGGUGAUGAUGCAAACGAUCCUACUACAUACGUUAGCGGCAUUUGGUGGAACAGUGGCCCAUUACAUGCCUGUUCCAGCAAAGCUUGUUUUGCAAACAACGAUACCUGAAGAGGCAAAAUCAAAUAAUGAAGUCGAACAUUUCCCAGAUGCUUCCAGAGUUACAGGGGUUAUACAACAACUUUGAAGGGGAAGUGGUUGAAGUCAGAGAUGCAAAAAAAUCACUCAUGAAGAUGUUGUUGGCAAACAACCGAACAGUAGGCAUGAUUGACUCCUUCACAGUUCUUUAUGUUGAUCAGAUCAUUUUCAGCAAGAAAAUGGAAAAAGAGAAAGGGUAGGUACAUGAGAGAAGUUGCAUAAAUAAACAAUGCAUUGUACCAUAUGAGCAUUUCGCUCUUUGGAAAGAUUGAACUUUCAAGUAAUUUGCAUAUGCGAAUGAUUGUUUGGACUGACAA